AGUUUCUUGCAAUAAGGAGACCAGGGAAAACAAAGGAGCUGGGGGGGAGGGGGAAGCCAGUCUACGGGAGGGGGGCUCAGCAGUUGGUCUUCAUGGGAAAGGCUCCCCUCCCUCUGGGUGUCCCCUGGCCCUCUGGGGCCUGAUUUGGACACUGGGGCAGAAAGGAGGAGCUGGGGCCCAAAGCUGCCUCCUGAGGGGGUUUUAGACCAUGGGUCCCUUCACCCUGCGGGUUGUAUCUGAAAUCACUCCCCAGCCCCUGAAAUCUGCAGGGGAGAACACUUUUCUGGGGGGCAGGGCUGGGCCUGGGCCCCAGGCCGUGGAUUUGGGGCUUUGCCAGGAACAGAACAGUACCUGUGAAGGUCUCUCCCCCCACUGCCCUCCCUGCUGGAGGAGCUGGCAUUUGACCCUCUUUCCCCACCCUGGCUUUAUGUUGCUCCGGCUGCUCUCACUUUCUUGUCCUUCGGGCUGCCCCGUCCAGCAGCCAGGGUGGGACUGAGAACAGCCUCCCUUCCCCGAGCGCUCCAAACUCUGGCCAGCCAUACUUCUGGCCUGGGCUCCCAGACAAUGCCGCCGUGCAGCCCAUUGUGUGGGCGUCUGGUCUGCAGAGAAAACAGCUUCUUUUGAUUGUGAGCGGAGCCCAGAGGGGGAGACGGCUGCUCCGUCAGUUUCCUUCCCUUCCCCUGGAGUCCUGCACUGCAUGCACGCCCUCCCCCCACAGAAAUAUUUUUACUCUGGCAUUGAUGUGCUUGCCAGGAUUUUUCCUGACUGAAGCAGUUUCAGUUCAGAGCCACUGAUCUUUGCAGAAGCGGGGGCUCCUCUAGAUCAGUGGUUCUCAACCUGGGCCCCCCUGGGAGGGGCCGUGAGCAGGUUUCGGGGGGCUGCCCAGGGCAGAAAACCAAAGCCCCACCACCUAUGACUUUUCUAUGCAGAAAAACAGUUGUGGCACGGGUGGGCCAUGGAGUUUUUCUAGCAUGAUUUGACGGGGGUCUUGGAAAGAAAAAGGCUGAGAACCCCUGCUCUAAAUCCUUCCCCUCUCUUGCAUGCAGGGGAUGGGUGCCCCUUAAAUCACAGCUGUUCCCAGACUUUGCACGGUGACCCUCACAUGUCACACACUGAGCAAUUCGGGUCCAAGGAGAGGCGUCCUGCCUUUCUCUCUCCCUCCCUCUCCACCGCCAGCUCCACAACGGCCACUCUCAAUUCACAGGCUUGGUGACACACUCGCCGGGUCCUCCGCUGGAGUUUAUUGGGGAACUCCGCUUCAAAGGGGGUUUGCGUUGCCUGGGGGCGGACUCUUGAGAGCACCAAGGUCCGUGGGUAAAGUGAACUCUGGAAUGGAGGGAGUUUGGAGGAGAUGUUCCAUUUGCACCAAAACGCAGAAUUCCCUUCGCUGAGUUGCAAACGGUCCCCUCUGUUUCCAUCGAGCCGGGCUUAUGGGCCUCUUGGUUGGGUUUCCCUUCUGCCUACUUUUCAGAUCAAAAUUCCUAGUGUAUUUGUAAAUGUCCGUCUGUCUCAGAUGUGGCAGUCUAUGAUCCUUCUCCGGCCCCCAUCACCACAGUAGCAAUCAUUAAUGUCUUCAUCCCCCAACUCCCCUGGAGGGAAGGCAGCGCUGUGGUCCCCAUUCAACAGGGAACUGGGGCAUAGAAGCUAAAUGGCUUUUUGCAGGGGGGAGGGGUGUGUUGGCAGAGCAGGGAAUUGAAUCCAGGUCUCCAAGUCCUAGGCUAGCCUCUAACCAUGGGACGCACCAUCCUGCCCCGUUAAACUAAUUACUAGUUAACAUUUAUCUUGCAAUAGCAUCUAGAAGCCCCACUGUCCUAGGUGCUGCACAGACACAGCAUAAGGGAGAGUCCUUGCACCAAAGAGCUUACGGUAUAAAUAGACAAGACAACAGGGGAGGGAAACUGAGGCACGGAGCUGAGACAUGACUGGCCCAAGGCUAUGCAGCAGAUCAGAGCACUGGACUGGGAACCAGCACUGCCGCUAUCUACUAGAUCCUUGGAAACUGUCAAUCUCUCUCUAGCCACAGGUCUGCUCCCUGGGGUGAUCCCAGUCCAGCGUAGACGGGGGGCCUUGGAAUCUUGCAUCACUCGGCUCAUGGAUUUUUAUGCCCCUCGUGUUUAAAAUGCUGCUUAGCUCCCCCUCGCCGCUUGUCCCCGAUCAGAACCAGCCUGCUCAUUGAAAGCCCUCUGAUUUUCCAAGUGUUGGACGGGGGGGCCAGGAAGCUGGGUUACACCCCGGGUUGACUGGAUUUGCUGGGUGCCUCUGCCUGACUCUGCUAGCUUCCUCCUGACCCUGCCUCUUUGGUUCUGCAGAACACAAGGUGAUCAUUGUUGGCCUGGACAAUGCAGGGAAGACCACCAUCCUCUACCAGUUCCUCAUGAACGAGGUGGUGCACACCUCACCCACCAUCGGCAGCAACGUGGAGGAGAUCAUCUUGAGGAAGACCCACUUCCUGAUGUGGGACAUCGGGGGGCAGGAGACGCUGCGGUCCACGUGGAACACGUACUACUCCAACACGGAGUUUGUCAUCCUGGUGAUCGACAGCACCGACCGCGAGCGGCUGACGGUGACGAAAGAGGAGCUGUACAAGAUGCUGGCCCACGAGGACCUGCAGAACGCGGCGGUCUUGAUAUUUGCCAACAAGCAGGAUGUAAAGAACUCCAUGACUACCUCUGAGAUCUCCAAGUUCCUAACCCUCAGCUCCAUCAAGGACCACCCAUGGCACAUCCAGGGCUGCUGCGCCCUCACGGGAGAGGGGUGAGUGCACCACAGAGUAAACUAAGCGGUCCCUUUUGGUGCCUAAGUGUCCUGUGGAACUCUCUCCCACAAGACAGAAGUGAGGCAGAGCUUAAUGGCAUUCAGCAAAAGGUUAGGGCCUGCCAGCUGGCUUGGAGUGGAUGAAGUCUCGAGUAGCAGCCAACUGACACGUCUGGCCAGACAUAUGACGGAACAGUGCAAAGCUCUCAAGCAUCUUAUUUAUUUUUUUAUACAUGUGAGUUUCAGCCUGGACUUUCCUUCUAAAGCAGCUGAAGCUGGGAUUUUGUACGGACAGUGUAUUUCCGAGCCCGGGUCAGCGUGGGAGCUGGUCCCUCCUGGAUUGCAUGUCCGGAAGAAAUCUGGAUCAUAUCUGCUGGGUGGUGGGUCCGUUCUGGAUCGUGUCUCUGAGGGGAAUCGGUUCUGGGUCAUCUCUCUUCUGGAUCACAUCCGCAGAGAGGGAAACCAAUAGGAAGAAAUCUCUGCUCCAGGCCUGCACUUAAGUAAAAGCUGGAACAAAGAAGCCUGGAGCAUGGAAAUUUUACGCACACGCAGGCCCAGUGCAGCUUCCAGCAGAUUUACCAAUAAGCUAUGAAAGAAGAACCUCACCCUCCGGAGUCCGGUUAACAGGAAAUGCCUUAGGUCUUCAGAUGGGGAUUGGGGAUAAACUUUGCUAGAGGGCUGGGGAGGGGGGUAAUAACCUUUAAACCCCGGUGCCCCUCUGCGCUGCCCAUGCUCUUCUCCAAACUCGGGUGGUGUUCGGGGUGAGGAUCUGAAACCUUCGGGACACUGACGUUUCCCAGGAUUUGCUCUGCGAUCAUCCCUGGGUUGCUCAGCGACGCAUCGACCAGCGCGCACUGGAUGUUUCCUACCAUUGGUGCUUUCCCUUGGCCCGUCUGAUCGAGGCCUUGACCAUCUUGUAUUUUAUAUGUUUUAACGCAAGCAGGAAAGGGCCGGCUCCAUGGCUCUAUUCCUGAGUAUUUCUCUCUUCUGCCACGGCCCCGGAGCAAGGACACAGAUCUGGAUUCAGACCCCUCCUCCAGCACCGUUGGAGGGCAGGGAUUCAGUGAGGGUGGGGAAAUACGCAUGGGUGGGAAGAGCUGCCCCGGGGAGCAAAUUUCCCCCUUCACGACGGUUCAUUCCCACCUCUUCCACCAGGAGGCGCUAACGGGUCAGGCCCAGCAGGGCCAGAUCCAAUGCUGCUCGAUCUGUGUGGGACCUGGCAUCAGGACCAAAUCCAAACCCUGGAUCCGGACUCAGGGAUGUUUGGGUCUGACCUAUCCAGCCCGUGUCCCAUUUCUACUGAAGAUCGAGUCUCACUCCGGAGGCAGCAGGAGCUGACGGUCAGGGAGACCCGCCUGGGUUCUGCUCUUGCAGACUUGCGGGGAAAGACUUAGCUCUUCUGUACCUCAGUUUACCCUGUUGGCAAGUGCCUGCCUUUGUAGAGUGACCUGGAAUCCCUGGAUGUGAAGGAUGCUGGAUAAGCACAAAGGACUUGGGGGCGGGGUCACUGUCAGGGGUUCCACUGUUCUCCGGUGCAAUGCUCUAAACUGGUGUGACCCCAAAACCCACUGGAAAGGUGCCCGUUGAAUCCAUUGGGCUCUGGAUCAGCCCCUUAACGAAUCUUCUUCAGUUAAGUGCUUUUAACGAAUUAAACUUGUCCCAUGAAUUUGCAUUUGCACAGGCCCCCUGCCAGGCUCAGAGGAGCGGGACAGCACGUCACAGCUUCCUGCCUUGGGCUCCGAUGGGGUUUUUACCAUUUCUGGGAUGAUCCAUUUGACUCUCCAGUUCUGUAUUUUUUAUAAAACUCGUGUCUUGUAUUUUAUACCUGAUUAAAGGCUCCGCUAUUUAAUUUUUUGCA
This is a non-coding RNA of Chrysemys picta bellii (western painted turtle), 4612 nucleotides long. The record is from RefSeq and is a predicted model, not a curated record. Lineage: Eukaryota; Metazoa; Chordata; Testudines; Emydidae.